Molecule: ribosomal RNA, 245 nt
Filed under: uncultured prokaryote
Description: partial 16S ribosomal RNA
Rfam family: Bacterial small subunit ribosomal RNA
Source: RNAcentral
UACGGAUGAUGCAAGCGUUAUCCGGAUUUAUUGGGUUUAAAGGGUGCGCAGGUUGUUUGAUAAGUCAGUGGUGAAAGUCUGUCGCUUAACGGUAGGAUUGCCAUUGAUACUGUUAGACUUGAAUAUGGAUGAGGUAGGCGGAAUGUGUAGUGUAGCGGUGAAAUGCAUAGAUAUUACACAGAACACCGAUUGCGAAGGCAGCUUACUAAUCCAUCAUUGACGCUGAGGCACGAAAGCGUGGUGAU